CGGACGGGUGAGUAACGCGUGAGAAUCUGCCCUCAGGAGGGGGAUAACGGCUGGAAACCGCCGUUAAUACUCCAUAUGCCGAGAGGUGAAACCAAUUUCCCGUGAGGAUGAGCUCGUGUCUGAUUAGCUAGUUGGUGGGGUAAGAGCCUACCAAGGCUUCGAUCAGUAGCCGCUCUGAGAGGAUGAUCAGCCACACUGUGCCUGAGACACGGCCCAGACUCGUACGGGAGGCAGCAGUGGGGAAUUUUCCGCAAUGGGCGAAAGCCUGACGGAGCAACGCCGCGUGAGGGAUGAAGGCCUCUGGGCAGUAAACCUCUUUUAUCAAGGAAGAAGAUCUGACGGUACUUGAGGAAUAAGCCACGGCUAAUUCCGUGCCAGCAGCCGCGGUAAUACGGGAGUGGCAAGCGUUAUCCGGAAUUAUUGGGCGUAAAGCGUCCGCAGGCGGCCUCGUAAGUCUGUCGUUAAAGCGUGGAGCUUAACUCCAUUUCAGCGAUGGAAACUGCGAGGCUUGAGUGUGGUAGGGGCAGAGGGAAUUCCCGGUGUAGCGGUGAAAUGCGUAGAUAUCGGGAAGAACACCAGUGGCGAAGGCGCUUUGCUGGGCCAUAACUGACGCUCAUGGACGAAAGCCAGGGGAGCGAAUGGGAUUAGAUACCCCAGUAGUC
RNAcentral lists this ribosomal RNA (662 nucleotides) under uncultured cyanobacterium. RNAcentral describes it as "bacterial SSU rRNA". It matches the Rfam family "Bacterial small subunit ribosomal RNA", at positions 99 to 795 of the family's 1533-position model. Lineage: Bacteria; Bacillati; Cyanobacteriota. The record is from RNAcentral.